CAAUAGCGUAUAUUAAAGUUGUUGCAGUUAAAAAGCUCGUAGUUGAAUUUCGGGUCCCCGCGCUCGGCGCUUCAUUGUACCGUCGUGGUGUCCCUCCUCGCCGUAAGGCGUCCUUUACUGUGAAAAAAUUAGAGUGUUCAAAGCAGGCAAUCGCUUGAAUACAUUAGCAUGGAAUAAUAAGAUAGGAUCUUGUCUAUUUUGUUGGUUGCGGACAACGAUAAUGAUUAAUAGGGAUAGUUGGGGGUGUCCGUAUUGAGCUGUCAGAGGUGAAAUUCUUGGAUUUGCUCAAGACGAACUACUGCGAAAGCAUUCACCAAGGAUGUUUUCAUUA
This 331-nucleotide ribosomal RNA is filed under the name uncultured eukaryote. RNAcentral's name for it is "partial 18S ribosomal RNA". It matches the Rfam family "Eukaryotic small subunit ribosomal RNA", at positions 592 to 975 of the family's 1831-position model. The record is from RNAcentral.